This 259-nucleotide unclassified non-coding RNA is filed under the name Hevea brasiliensis (rubber tree). The record is from RNAcentral. Lineage: Eukaryota; Viridiplantae; Streptophyta; Magnoliopsida; Malpighiales; Euphorbiaceae.
AUACGCCGAAUCCUUGUAUGGGCUUCAUCACCACAGUGAGUGAAUUAGACAAAUGUAUUAGAUAAUAAGUAAUUCUAAAGUGUGGUUUUCUUUGUGGCAUUAGUGAUGGUGAUCUCAAAACUUGUAAAUCAUCUGAAAGAAGUGUGCUUAAUUUGGAUAAUAUAAAAAUCUUUCAGCUACCAUUCUGUAAUGUCAUAAACCAGAAAAAAAGUACAUUUUGAGAAAUUGAGAAAAAGAAAGAGAAAUACCUGGCCAGGGA